UGAGGCACUGCCACUGGAACACAAGGCAUUUGAUUGUAGUCUCCUGCCCUUCACUAGAGUCAACCAUAGCAAAUGAGAUGACCAAAAUGUCCUUUGGAUACUCCGAACUGUGAUGCAGACAUCAAGGCUCAGAGAAGUCAAGGACAUCAUUCAAAUGUGCACAGGCCCUGGCAACCACUCCCCCACUUCUUGUCUCUAUGGAUUUGCCUCUUCUGGACAUUUCAUAUCAAUGGACUCACACGAUACGCAGCCUUCUACGUCUGGCUCCUUUCCAUAGCACAGUGCUCUCAAGGUUCAUCCAUACCAUAGUUCCUUGUUCCUUGGUACGGCUACAGAAAUGGGCUUUACAAAGUGGGUAUUAGACUGACAGGUUCGAAAGUACCAGGGGAGCCCUGGAUCACUGCACACCCUUGUGCCACACAGUGGUGUCAAGGUCAGUAACCGUGGGGAGACCAAGCAUCCCCUGCUACCUCAGCAUGACAGUAGGGGAAGGAGCUUUGCCCAGAAAGAGGACAAAGGAAGUUUCUCUUUCACCAAGACAUCACAAAAUGUCCUCUGUGUUAGCAAAAGAGACCAAAAACAUCCUUGGAGAAUAAGUGAC
Zalophus californianus (California sea lion) is the source of this 601-nucleotide long non-coding RNA. RefSeq lists it as uncharacterized. The transcript has 4 exons. NCBI's taxonomy places the organism in Eukaryota, Metazoa, Chordata, Mammalia, Carnivora, Otariidae. The record is from RefSeq and is a predicted model, not a curated record.